UACGUAGGUGACAAGCGUUGUCCGGAUUUACUGGGCGUAAAGAGCGCGCAGGCGGUCCGAUGCGUCGUGCGUGAAAGACCCCGGCUCAACUGGGGAGGGUCGUGCGAUACGGUCGGACUCGAGGCCAGUAGGGGGACGCGGAAUUCCGGGUGUAGUGGUGGAAUGCGUAGAGAUCCGGAGGAACACCAGCGGCGAAGGCGGCGUCCUGGACUGGUACUGACGCUCAGGAGCGAAAGCGUGGGGAGCGAUCCGG
This 253-nucleotide ribosomal RNA is filed under the name uncultured bacterium. RNAcentral's name for it is "partial 16S ribosomal RNA". It matches the Rfam family "Bacterial small subunit ribosomal RNA", at positions 524 to 776 of the family's 1533-position model. The record is from RNAcentral.